UACGUAGGGUGCGAGCGUUGUCCGGAAUUACUGGGCGUAAAGAGCUCGUAGGUGGUUUGUCGCGUUGUUCGUGAAAACUCACAACUCAAUUGUGGGCGUGCGGGCGAUACGGGCAGACUGGAGUACUGCAGGGGAGACUGGAAUUCCCGGUGUAGCGGUGAAAUGCGCAGAUAUCGGGAGGAACACCGGUGGCGAAGGCGGUUCUCUGGGCCUUACCUGACACUGAGGAGCGAAAGCGUGGGGAGCGAACAGG
RNAcentral lists this ribosomal RNA (253 nucleotides) under uncultured bacterium. Its description in RNAcentral is "partial 16S ribosomal RNA". It matches the Rfam family "Bacterial small subunit ribosomal RNA", at positions 524 to 776 of the family's 1533-position model. The record is from RNAcentral.